CUGCUCCUAGUACGAGAGGACCGGAGUGG
RNAcentral lists this non-coding RNA (29 nucleotides) under Escherichia coli. The record is from RNAcentral. RNAcentral also lists the same sequence under 1 other name. Lineage: Bacteria; Pseudomonadati; Pseudomonadota; Gammaproteobacteria; Enterobacterales; Enterobacteriaceae.